GCGGAUGUGGCGGAACUGGUAGACGCCCUAGAUUUAGGUUCUAGUGCCGCAAGGCGUGGGGGUUCAAGUCCCUCCAUCCGUACCA
RNAcentral lists this transfer RNA (85 nucleotides) under Rickettsiales bacterium. RNAcentral's name for it is "tRNA-Leu". It matches the Rfam family "tRNA". From Rfam's summary of the family: Transfer RNA (tRNA) molecules are approximately 80 nucleotides in length. Their secondary structure includes four short double-helical elements and three loops (D, anti-codon, and T loops). Further hydrogen bonds mediate the characteristic L-shaped molecular structure. tRNAs have two regions of fundamental functional importance: the anti-codon, which is responsible for specific mRNA codon recognition, and the 3' end, to which the tRNAs corresponding amino acid is attached (by aminoacyl-tRNA synthetases). tRNAs cope with the degeneracy of the genetic code in two manners: having more than one tRNA (with a specific anti-codon) for a particular amino acid; and 'wobble' base-pairing, i.e. permitting non-standard base-pairing at the 3rd anti-codon position. Lineage: Bacteria; Pseudomonadati; Pseudomonadota; Alphaproteobacteria; Rickettsiales. The record is from RNAcentral.